GGGGAAUCUUUGGGGAAUUUUAGGAGUUUUCGGGAAUUUGGGGCUCUCCCAAUCCCGGAAUUCUGGCGUUUCCCGGCAGGUCCAAGCGCACGCUGGGGCUGGGCGGCCUCUAUGGGGAGAACGAGCUGCAGCAGCUGGAACAGCUGGAAAAACAUCCGGAAAAACAGCUGGAAAAACAGACGGAAAAACAGCCGGAAAAGGCUCCGGAGCCGCCGGAAUUCCGGGAACGGGAACGGGCGGCGGCCGAGCGGCAGCUGGGGCACCUCGGGGACAUCCUGUGAGACGGGAUUUGGGAAUUCUGAGGGGAUUUGGGAAUUCCCAGUGGGAUUUGGGGAAUUCUCGAUGGGAUUUGGGAAUUUCCGGUGGGAUUUGGGAAUUCCCAGGGGAUUUGGGAAUUCUUGAUGGGAUUUUGGGAAUUCCCGAUGGGAUUUUGGAAUUCCUGAUGGGAUCUUUGAGAAUUCCCGGUGAGAUUUGGGGAUUCCCGAUGGGAUCUUUGGGAUUUCCCGUGGGAUCUUUGGGAAUUCCCGAUGGGAUUUGGGAAUUCCUGAGGGCAUUGGGAAUUCCAGCUGGGAUUCGGGGCUGGAAUGGGAAUUUUGGGAUUGGGAACUGGGAUUUGGCCUUGGGAAUGGCAGAAUUCCAGGGAAUUCCUUUUCCCGCAGCUCCAAGUACGAGGAGGAGCGGAGCGCUCCCAUGGCCUUCGCCCUCAGCACCUUCAUGGCCCACGCCGGGAUCCGGCCCCAGGAAUUCCGGGAAUUCCGGGAAUCUCGGAAUUCCGGAGCCUCCGAGAAGAUCCCGGACAAGGACAAGUGGCUGCCCUUCUUCCCCAAGGCCAAAAAGAGCAGCAGCUCCAGGAAGGAGAAGGAGCAGAGGCAGAAUCCGAUCCUGAAAUACAUCGGGAAACCCCGGAGCUGCUCCCAGAGCACCUUUCACGUCCCCCUGUCCCCCGGGGAAGCCGGGAAGCCGGGGAGCGUCCGGACCAUGAUCCAGCACUUCGAGAACGGCCACGGGGAAACGCCGGAGCCGCCGGAGCGCGCCAGCAGCUCCCGGGCCGAGGGGCGCCUGGGCCGCUCGGAGUCGCUGAAGGGCCGGGAGGAGCUGCGGCGCUCCGAGCCCGUCCCGCGCUCCCGCAGCGACGUGGACAUGGACGCCGGGAAUUCCGGGAAUUCCGGGAAUUCCGGCAGCACCGGGAGCGACACCCCCCGGCUGCACUCGGCCUCCUCCUCCGCCUCCAGCCUCUCCAACAGAUCCCUGGAAAAUCCCACCCCCCCUUACACGCCAAAGAUGGGGCGCAGGAGCCUGGACUCUCCCCUCGGGGCCGAUCCCUUCCUCCCGCACCUCCUGGAGGACGAGCCGGGCCCCGAUCCCGACCCGGAGGCGGAUCCCGAAUCCCAGGAUCCCCCCAAUUCCCCGAAUUCCCGGAAUCCCCCGAAUUCCCAGAGCUGGCAGCACUCGGUCAGCCGGGAGCUCCUGGCCGGCCUCUCCCAGCGCGAGGUGGAUCGGCAGGAGGUCAUCAACGAGCUGUUUGUCACCGAGCUGUCCCACCUCCGUGUCCUGCGCGUUUUGGAUUCGCUCUUCCUGCAGCGCCUGCGCCGGGAGCAGCUCCUGAGCCAGGAGGAGCUGGGGCUGCUCUUCCCCAACCUGCCCGAGCUCAUCGCCGUGCACAGUGAGCCUGUCCCAAAUUCCCAAAAUCCCAAAAUUCUGAAAUCCCAAAUCCCCAAAAUCCUGAAAUCCUCAAAUCCCCAAAUCCCCAAAUCCCCAAAAUCCCAA
Molecule: long non-coding RNA, 1767 nt
Organism: Chloebia gouldiae (Gouldian finch)
Lineage: Eukaryota; Metazoa; Chordata; Aves; Passeriformes; Passeridae
Source: Ensembl